AAAUUGAAGAGUUUGAUCAUGGCUCAGAUUGAACGCUGGCGGCAGGCCUAACACAUGCAAGUCGAACGGUAACAGGAAGCAGCUUGCUGCUUCGCUGACGAGUGGCGGACGGGUGAGUAAUGUCUGGGAAACUGCCUGAUGGAGGGGGAUAACUACUGGAAACGGUAGCUAAUACCGCAUAACGUCGCAGGACCAAAGAGGGGGACCUUCGGGCCUCUUGCCAUCAGAUGUGCCCAGAUGGGAUUAGCUUGUUGGUGAGGUAACGGCUCACCAAGGCGACGAUCCCUAGCUGGUCUGAGAGGAUGACCAGCCACACUGGAACUGAGACACGGUCCAGACUCCUACGGGAGGCAGCAGUGGGGAAUAUUGCACAAUGGGCGCAAGCCUGAUGCAGCCAUGCCGCGUGUAUGAAGAAGGCCUUCGGGUUGUAAAGUACUUUCAGCGGGGAGGAAGGUGUUGUGGUUAA
RNAcentral lists this ribosomal RNA (466 nucleotides) under Salmonella enterica. RNAcentral describes it as "partial 16S ribosomal RNA". It matches the Rfam family "Bacterial small subunit ribosomal RNA", at positions 1 to 463 of the family's 1533-position model. RNAcentral also lists the same sequence under 1 other name. The record is from RNAcentral. Lineage: Bacteria; Pseudomonadati; Pseudomonadota; Gammaproteobacteria; Enterobacterales; Enterobacteriaceae.